RNAcentral lists this ribosomal RNA (252 nucleotides) under uncultured bacterium. RNAcentral's name for it is "partial 16S ribosomal RNA". It matches the Rfam family "Bacterial small subunit ribosomal RNA", at positions 524 to 776 of the family's 1533-position model. The record is from RNAcentral.
UACGUAGGUGGCAAGCGUUGUCCGGAAUUAUUGGGCGUAAAGCGCGCGCAGGCGGUUUCUUAAGUCCAUCUUAAAAGCGUGGGGCUCAACCCCAUGAGGGGAUGGAAACUGGGAAGCUGGAGUAUCGGAGAGGAAAGUGGAAUUCCUAGUGUAGCGGUGAAAUGCGUAGAGAUUAGGAAGAACACCGGUGGCGAAGGCGACUUUCUAGACGAAAACUGACGCUGAGGCGCGAAAGCGUGGGGAGCAAACAGG